This 253-nucleotide ribosomal RNA is filed under the name uncultured bacterium. RNAcentral describes it as "partial 16S ribosomal RNA". It matches the Rfam family "Bacterial small subunit ribosomal RNA", at positions 524 to 776 of the family's 1533-position model. The record is from RNAcentral.
UACGAAGGGGGCUAGCGUUGCUCGGAAUCACUGGGCGUAAAGCGCACGUAGGCGGGCUCUUAAGUCGGUGGUGAAAUCCUGGAGCUCAACUCCAGAACUGCCUUCGAUACUGAGAGUCUCGAGUCCGAGAGAGGUGAGUGGAACUGCGAGUGUAGAGGUGAAAUUCGUAGAUAUUCGCAAGAACACCAGUGGCGAAGGCGGCUCACUGGCUCGGUACUGACGCUGAGGUGCGAAAGCGUGGGGAGCAAACAGG